Molecule: ribosomal RNA, 440 nt
Filed under: uncultured bacterium
Lineage: Bacteria
Description: partial 16S ribosomal RNA
Rfam family: Bacterial small subunit ribosomal RNA
Source: RNAcentral
CCUACGGGCGGCAGCAGUAGGGAAUAUUGCUCAAUGGGGGAAACCCUGAAGCAGCAACGCCGCGUGGAGGAUGGAAGUUUUCGGAUUGUAAACUCCUUUUGUUAGAGAAGAUAAUGACGGUAUCUAACGAAUAAGCACCGGCUAACUCCGUGCCAGCAGCCGCGGUAAUACGGAGGGAGCAAGCGUUACUCGGAAUCACUGGGCGUAAAGAGCGCGUAGGCGGGAUAGCAAGUCAGAUGUGAAAUCCUAUGGCUUAACCAUAGAACGGCAUUUGAAACUGUUAUUCUAGAGUAUGGGAGAGGUAGGUGGAAUUCUUGGUGGAGGGGUAAAAUGCGUAGAGAUCAAGAGGAAUACUCAUUGCGAAGGCGACCUGCUAGAACAUAACUGACGCUGAUGCGCGAAAGCGUGGGGAGCAAACAGGAUUAGAUACCCCAGUAGUC